RNAcentral lists this small RNA (28 nucleotides) under Bombyx mori (domestic silkworm). Its description in RNAcentral is "ovarian small RNA-7745". The record is from RNAcentral. Lineage: Eukaryota; Metazoa; Arthropoda; Insecta; Lepidoptera; Bombycidae.
UCUCGGUCAUAGGCGCUGUACAGCUGCU